Molecule: ribosomal RNA, 425 nt
Filed under: uncultured bacterium
Lineage: Bacteria
Description: partial 16S ribosomal RNA
Rfam family: Bacterial small subunit ribosomal RNA
Source: RNAcentral
GUGGGGAAUCUUGCGUAAUGGGCGAAAGCCUGACGCAGCCAUGCCGCGUGAAUGAUGAAGGUCUUAGGAUUGUAAAAUUCUUUCACCGGGGACGAUAAUGACGGUACCCGGAGAAGAAGCCCCGGCUAACUUCGUGCCAGCAGCCGCGGUAAUACGAAGGGGGCUAGCGUUGCUCGGAAUUACUGGGCGUAAAGGGCGCGUAGGCGGAUCGUGAAGUCAGGGGUGAAAUCCCGGAGCUCAACUCUGGAACUGCCCUUGAUACUGGCGAUCUGGAGUGUGAGAGAGGUAUGUGGAACUCCGAGUGUAGAGGUGAAAUUCGUAGAUAUUCGGAAGAACACCAGUGGCGAAGGCGACAUACUGGCUCAUUACUGACGCUGAGGCGCGAAAGCGUGGGGAGCAAACAGGAUUAGAAACCCGUGUAGUCC